AGACCCUGUUGAGCUUGACU
This 20-nucleotide small nuclear RNA is filed under the name Arabidopsis thaliana (thale cress). RNAcentral describes it as "snRNA_00649". Lineage: Eukaryota; Viridiplantae; Streptophyta; Magnoliopsida; Brassicales; Brassicaceae. The record is from RNAcentral.